CACUGCCUUCUGCUCCCCCAGCCUCCCAGUUUGACCGGUCUCAGCUGCCAUCCAGCCCGUGUCAAGCUCUCCAUGUGGGCCCUGACCCCACCAAAAUCUGAGACGGCCUGUCUCUGCCCGGCUACCAUCCCAUCCCGGAACAUCCUGCCUCCUCCUAGCAGAGGUUCUCAGCCGGGGACGUUGGUGCUGUCUGGGACAUCUGUGGUGAUCACGUCUGGGGGUGCUCCUGGCUUCGAGUGGGUGGGGUCAGGGAUGCUGCUGCCCCACCCUGCCGCCCCAUGCUCAGGAUGGCCCCGAAUAUCAGCAGUGUCGAGGGGGGAGACCUGGGACUGGAGUUCACACUGAGAGCCCUGUGAGGGCAGGGCCUCUGUCCCCAGAGCCUCCCCGUGCCCCAUAGGGCUGGAGCUCGAGAACACUGGCUUGAGUGGGUGCUAGAGGGCGGGGACAGCCGGACGGUAGGGUACGUUUGGCCCAUUCUGGGAGCUGGUGGCCUUCAGAGUAUCGGGGUGCCCCUCUUCUGCCCAGCAGCUUCCCGCCGUCCAGGUUCUGAUCCCUCACAGGCCCCAGUAGCCUCCCCCUUGUCAGGUCCACUGGUCACCACCCUGGCCACCUCUCCCUGCACCUGCCCGAGAUUUGUUUGGUACAUGGGAACGGCGGCGGGCGCUUUGGAGCCAGGCGCGUCCUGCAGCUCCUUCCUUCUGUCGAGCCCUGGGAUUCGCACACAAUCAGAGCUCCUUCUCGUGUGGCACGGAUGUGCCAGACAGGGGACGUUCAUGCCCCCAGCUACCAUGCAUCCUGGUGUCCUUGGCAAGUGAGUGCUUUCUCCUGCUGUGGCUUCCUCGCUUGAGAUUGGAACAGGAGCGCACGUCGCGUCCCAGCAGCCACGAGUGGUUUGGUCCUUGACCGUCGUGCCUAACAAAUGACCCCCGCCCCCCAAAAAGUGGACUGUGGACUCCACUCUCCCCUGGCUUCCUACACCUUCCCAUCAGUGAGCAGCCUCCUUCACUGGCCCUCCUUUUCAUUAUUUAUUUGCUGAAUUUUUGUUGGUAACAGAUCUAUUCAGGUAUAAUUCCCAUGCCCUGUCAUUUACUGAUUUAAAAUACACAGUUCAGUGCUUUUCAGCUUUCGCAUCUAUCACCCUAAUUCCAGAACAUUCUUAUCACUGCAAACAAACCUUCUUCACUUUACCCAUCAGUCCUAUGCUCUCCCCAGUUCCGGCAACCACUGCCCCAUUUUCUGUCAGGAUGAGCCUGUUCUGGACGUGUCACACACGUGGACGCACACGCCGCGAGGCCUUCUGUGUCUGGUUCCCUCCCUGAGCGUCAUGGGCUCGGGGUCCGUGUCC
RNAcentral lists this long non-coding RNA (1345 nucleotides) under Ursus maritimus (polar bear). Its description in RNAcentral is "lncRNA (ENSUMAG00000007297.1)". The record is from RNAcentral. Lineage: Eukaryota; Metazoa; Chordata; Mammalia; Carnivora; Ursidae.